RNAcentral lists this ribosomal RNA (497 nucleotides) under uncultured bacterium. RNAcentral's name for it is "partial 16S ribosomal RNA". It matches the Rfam family "Bacterial small subunit ribosomal RNA", at positions 28 to 507 of the family's 1533-position model. The record is from RNAcentral.
GAUGAACGCUGGCGGCGUGCCUAAUACAUGCAAGUCGAGCGAACAGACGAGGAGCUUGCUCCUCUGACGUUAGCGGCGGACGGAUGAGUAACACGUGGAUAACCUACCUAUAAGACUGGGAUAACUUCGGGAAACCGGAGCUAAUACCGGAUAAUAUAUUGAACCGCAUGGUUCAAUAGUGAAAGACGGUUUUGCUGUCACUUAUAGAUGGUUCCGCGCCGCAUUAGCUAGUUGGUAAGGUAACGGCUUACCAAGGCAACGAUGCGUAGCCGACCUGAGAGGGUGAUCGGCCACACUGGAACUGAGACACGGUCCAGACUCCUACGGGAGGCAGCAGUAGGGAAUCUUCCGCAAUGGGCGAAAGCUUGACGGAGCAACGCCGCGUGAGUGAUGAAGGUCUUCGGAUCGUAAAACUCUGUUAUUAGGGAAGAACAAAUGUGUAAGUAACUAUGCACGUCUUGACGGUACCUAAUCAGAAAGCCACGGCUAACUACGUG